RNAcentral lists this ribosomal RNA (253 nucleotides) under uncultured bacterium. RNAcentral describes it as "partial 16S ribosomal RNA". It matches the Rfam family "Bacterial small subunit ribosomal RNA", at positions 524 to 776 of the family's 1533-position model. The record is from RNAcentral.
UACGGGGGGGGCAAGCGUUGUUCGGAAUUACUGGGCAUAAAGCGCGCGUAGGCGGCUUGGCAAGUCGGGGGUGAAAGCCCGCAGCUCAACUGCGGAACUGCCUUCGAUACUGCCGGGCUUGAGGGCGGGAGGGGUGAUUGGAACUCCAGGUGUAGCGGUGAAAUGCGUAGAUAUCUGGAGGAACACCGGAGGCGAAGGCGAAUCACUGGACCGCUUCUGACGCUGAGGCGCGAAAGCUAGGGGAGCAAACAGG